GUGGGGAAUCUUGCGCAAUGGGCGAAAGCCUGAUCCAGCCAUGCCGCGUGUGUGAAGAAGGUCUUCGGAUUGUAAAGCACUUUAAGUUGGGAGGAAGGGCAGUAAGUUAAUACCUUGCUGUUUUGACGUUACCGACAGAAUAAGCACCGGCUAACUUCGUGCCAGCAGCCGCGGUAAUACGAAGGGUGCAAGCGUUAACCGGAAUUACUGGGCGUAAAGCGCGCGUAGGUGGUUUUGUAAGUUGGAGGUGAAAUCCCCGGGCUCAACCUGGGAACUGCCUCCAAAACUGCAUGACUAGAGUACGGUAGAGGGUAGUGGAAUUUCCUGUGUAGCGGUGAAAUGCGUAGAUAUAGGAAGGAACACCAGUGGCGAAGGCGACUACCUGGACUGAUACUGACACUGAGGUGCGAAAGCGUGGGGAGCAAACAGGAUUAGAAACCCUUGUAGUCC
This 450-nucleotide ribosomal RNA is filed under the name uncultured bacterium. Its description in RNAcentral is "partial 16S ribosomal RNA". It matches the Rfam family "Bacterial small subunit ribosomal RNA", at positions 354 to 796 of the family's 1533-position model. The record is from RNAcentral.